AUGAACGCUGGCGGCGUGCCUCAUCCAUGCAAGUCGCGCGAACAGACGAGGAGCUUGCUCCUCUGACGUUAGCGGCGGACGGGUGAGUAACACGUGGAUAACCUACCUAUAAGACUGGGAUAACUUCGGGAAACCGGAGCUAAUACCGGAUAAUAUAUUGAACCGCAUGGUUCAAUAGUGAAAGACGGUUUUGCUGUCACUUAUAGAUGGAUCCGCGCCGCAUUAGCUAGUUGGUAAGGUAACGGCUUACCAAGGCGACGAUGCGUAGCCGACCUGAGAGGGUGAUCGGCCACACUGGAACUGAGACACGGUCCAGACUCCUACGGGAGGCAGCAGUAGGGAAUCUUCCGCAAUGGGCGAAAGCCUGACGGAGCAACGCCGCGUGAGUGAUGAAGGUCUUCGGAUCGUAAAACUCUGUUAUUAGGGAAGAACAAAUGUGUAAGUAACUAUGCACGUCUUGACGGUACCUAAUCAGAAAGCCACGGCUAACUACGUG
RNAcentral lists this ribosomal RNA (496 nucleotides) under uncultured bacterium. RNAcentral's name for it is "partial 16S ribosomal RNA". It matches the Rfam family "Bacterial small subunit ribosomal RNA", at positions 29 to 507 of the family's 1533-position model. The record is from RNAcentral.